RNAcentral lists this long non-coding RNA (563 nucleotides) under Ananas comosus (pineapple). RNAcentral's name for it is "long non-coding RNA (ACOM_LNC030553)". The record is from RNAcentral. Lineage: Eukaryota; Viridiplantae; Streptophyta; Magnoliopsida; Poales; Bromeliaceae.
ACUGGGCUACUAUUAGUAGCAAAAUCUCAUUAUUGCUACCAGUUUUUUAGCCUUUUGAUCAACUCUUUUUAUUAUUUCUAACCAUUAGAUUAAAUACUAUAACCCAGUGGGGACCACUCAACCCUACGGGGACCACUCAACUCUAACCGACUAAUAUCAUCAUGACCCUACAAUUUUUCAUCCAAGGGUUAAAAACUUGAUAGCAAAAAGAGGGUUUUACUAUUAAUAGUAUUCCAGCCUAAUUCUAUAUAUAUAUAUAUAUAUAUAUAUAUAUAUAUAUAUAUAUUGUAGCAUACCGAACUUCUAUAAUUAUGAAGUUACGGUGUAUGUUGGUUUGGAAAGUCAUUAAAAUGGUUCCGGUGAAGUUCGGGAGCAUUCGGGGGUUUUCGGUACGCGUCGGGCCUGAAAACGGAACCCGAAGAGCUAUGAAUGGACCUUGGCCGAAGUCCGGCAAGGCGUGGAUGAAAAUAUGGUUUAAAUGCGCUCGAAAAUAUGUUUUGGGGGUCUCGGUACGAUUAGAGAUGAAUCAGAGGCCCCAGGAGCGAAAACGAGCGAAAAUGGAC